This 284-nucleotide unclassified non-coding RNA is filed under the name Hevea brasiliensis (rubber tree). Lineage: Eukaryota; Viridiplantae; Streptophyta; Magnoliopsida; Malpighiales; Euphorbiaceae. The record is from RNAcentral.
GCUCUCCCUUUUGCUUUCUGCUGAGAGAAGGAAGAAUCAGAAAACAAGAAUGGCGGCCUCGGCUAUGGUUCUCGACCCGAAAUCCUCAUUGGAGCCGCCGGCAUCGUUCCCCUCGAUGAGAUCUGAUCUCCAAGGCUUGGCGGAACAGUCCUCCGACGAGGAUGACCUCUACAGCCGUCUAAAAUCGCUGCAGCGGCAGCUGGAGUUCAUCGACAUUCAAGAAGAAUACGUGAAGGAUGAACAGAAGAACUUGAAGCGCGAGCUUCUACGAGCACAGGAAGAGG